This 449-nucleotide ribosomal RNA is filed under the name uncultured bacterium. RNAcentral's name for it is "bacterial SSU rRNA". It matches the Rfam family "Bacterial small subunit ribosomal RNA", at positions 355 to 796 of the family's 1533-position model. The record is from RNAcentral.
UGGGGAAUUUUGGACAAUGGGCGCAAGCCUGAUCCAGCCAUGCCGCGUGCGGGAAGAAGGCCUUCGGGUUGUAAACCGCUUUUGUCAGGGAAGAAACGGCCUGAUCUAAUAAAUCGGGCUAAUGACGGUACCUGAAGAAUAAGCACCGGCUAACUACGUGCCAGCAGCCGCGGUAAUACGUAGGGUGCAAGCGUUAAUCGGAAUUACUGGGCGUAAAGCGUGCGCAGGCGGCUUUGCAAGACAGAUGUGAAAUCCCCGGGCUCAACCUGGGAACUGCAUUUGUGACUGCAUGGCUAGAGUGCGGCAGAGGGGGAUGGAAUUCCGCGUGUAGCAGUGAAAUGCGUAGAUAUGCGGAGGAACACCGAUGGCGAAGGCAAUCCCCUGGGCCUGCACUGACGCUCAUGCACGAAAGCGUGGGGAGCAAACAGGAUUAGAUACCCGCGUAGUCC